UAGCCAGUAGUUGAUCUCCUGUCCACUCUAUCUCCUGCCCAAUCAGCAUCACAAUAGCCCACUACUUCUGUGCUGCCAUUGCAUCCCAUCCAAACUCCUUGACCAGACGUGCCACUCAAAUACCUCAGUAUCCUAUCAACCAUCUUCCAGUGAUGUACCCUUGGCGCCUGCAUAUGCUGACUCACUUGGUUUACAGCAAAACAUAUAUCUGGCCGUGUGAUGGUCAAGUAGAUCAGCUUGCCAACCAUCUUCCUGUAUAGCUUAGGAUCCUCAAACAACUGCUUCUCUUCAACCUCCCCCUCACGCAGAACCUUAUAUCCCUCCUCAAGGGGUGUUUUAGCUAUCUUUCCUCCAAGCACAUCAGUCUCCUUCAACAUAUCCAUAGUAUACUUCCUUUGAGACAUAAACAAAGGUGUUUUAGCUAUCUUUCCUCCAAGCACAUCAGUCUCCUUCAACAUAUCCAU
RNAcentral lists this long non-coding RNA (464 nucleotides) under Brassica napus (rape). Its description in RNAcentral is "long non-coding RNA (BNAP_LNC023966)". The record is from RNAcentral. Lineage: Eukaryota; Viridiplantae; Streptophyta; Magnoliopsida; Brassicales; Brassicaceae.